RNAcentral lists this non-coding RNA (92 nucleotides) under Thiothrix nivea. Its description in RNAcentral is "Glycine sequence". It matches the Rfam family "Glycine riboswitch aptamer". From Rfam's summary of the family: This family represents the bacterial glycine riboswitch. Glycine riboswitches usually consist of two metabolite-binding aptamers domains with similar structures in tandem. RNAcentral also lists the same sequence under 1 other name. The record is from RNAcentral. Lineage: Bacteria; Pseudomonadati; Pseudomonadota; Gammaproteobacteria; Thiotrichales; Thiotrichaceae.
UAAAAGCUGGCAGAAGAGUGUUGCCCAUGUGGCAGCCGCCGAAGGCGCAAUUCCGCCCGGAAACGCUCAGGCAAAAGGACUGGCAGUGCUAU